GGGGGCGCGGAUCUGUUGAUCGAGGCUCGGCAGUGGUCGGAGUUCGGCCUCUGUAGGAGUCCGGGAGGGGUCCUCCUUUCGGUUGAGGUCGUGGGUGGAGUCCGGCUCCUGUAAGAGUCAGAACCCUCAGCAAUCAAAGUUAAAGAUGAAGUCCGGCUCCCGUAGGAGUCCGGACGAAGCUUACCAGCAGCUGAAACUGAGGUCGGAGCCCGGCUCCC
RNAcentral lists this long non-coding RNA (218 nucleotides) under Elaeis guineensis (African oil palm). RNAcentral describes it as "long non-coding RNA (EGUI_LNC057454)". Lineage: Eukaryota; Viridiplantae; Streptophyta; Magnoliopsida; Arecales; Arecaceae. The record is from RNAcentral.